CGCACGGGUGAGUAACGCGUAGGUAAUCUACCCUAAUAUUUGGGAUAACAUUGGGAAACUGGUGCUAAUACCGAAUACCCUUCUUUUCUGUCGGGUUAAGGAGGAAAGGUGGCCUCUUCGUGAAAGCUACCGUAUAAGGAUGAGCCUGCGUACCAUUAGCUAGUAGGUGGGGUAAAGGCCCACCUAGGCUACGAUGGUUAGCGGGUCUGAGAGGAUGAUCCGCCACACUGGAACUGGAACACGAACCAG
RNAcentral lists this ribosomal RNA (249 nucleotides) under uncultured bacterium. Its description in RNAcentral is "partial 16S ribosomal RNA". It matches the Rfam family "Bacterial small subunit ribosomal RNA", at positions 99 to 334 of the family's 1533-position model. The record is from RNAcentral.